This 465-nucleotide ribosomal RNA is filed under the name uncultured bacterium. RNAcentral describes it as "partial 16S ribosomal RNA". It matches the Rfam family "Bacterial small subunit ribosomal RNA", at positions 331 to 794 of the family's 1533-position model. The record is from RNAcentral.
CCAGACUCCUACGGGAGGCAGCAGUGAGGAAUAUUGGUCAAUGGGCGGGGGCCUGAACCAGCCAAGUCGCGUGAGGGAAGAAGGUACUGAGUAUUGUAAACCUCUUUUGCCAGGGGACAAAGGCGGCCACGGGUGGCCGUAAGAGGGUACCUGGAGAAAAAGCAUCGGCUAACUCCGUGCCAGCAGCCGCGGUAAUACGGAGGGUGCGAGCGUUAUCCGGAUUUAUUGGGUUUAAAGGGUGCGUAGGCGGUUUUUUAAGUUAGUGGUUAAACGUCGGGGCUUCACCUUGAUUUGCCAUUAAUACUGUAAGACUCGAGUUCAGACGAGGUAGGCGGAAUAAGUUAAGUAGCGGUGAAAUGCUUAGAUAUAACUUAGAACUCCGAUAGCGAAGGCAGCAUACCGGUGCACAACUGACGCUCAGGCACGAAAGCGUGGGUAUCGAACAGGAUUAGAUACCCGAGUACA